AGUGAACGCUGGCGGUAGGCCUAACACAUGCAAGUCGAACGGCAGCACAGUAAGAGCUUGCUCUUACGGGUGGCGAGUGGCGGACGGGUGAGGAAUACGUCGGAAUCUACUUUUUCGUGGGGGAUAACGUAGGGAAACUUACGCUAAUACCGCAUACGACCUACGGGUGAAAGCAGGGGAUCUUCGGACCUUGCGCGAUUGAAUGAGCCGAUGUCGGAUUAGCUAGUUGGCGGGGUAAAGGCCCACCAAGGCGACGAUCCGUAGCUGGUCUGAGAGGAUGAUAAGCCACACUGGAACUGAGACACGGUCCAGACUCCUACGGGAGGAAGCAGUGGGGAAUAUUGGACAAUGGGCGCAAGCAUGAUCCAGCCAUACCGCGUGGGUGAAGAAGGCCUUCGGGUUGUAAAGCCCUUUUGUUGGGAAAGAAAAGCAGCAGGUUAAUACCCCGCUGUUCUGACGGUACCCAAAGAAUAAGCACCGGCUAACUUCGUG
Molecule: ribosomal RNA, 492 nt
Filed under: uncultured bacterium
Lineage: Bacteria
Description: partial 16S ribosomal RNA
Rfam family: Bacterial small subunit ribosomal RNA
Source: RNAcentral